This 1330-nucleotide long non-coding RNA is filed under the name Olea europaea subsp. europaea. Lineage: Eukaryota; Viridiplantae; Streptophyta; Magnoliopsida; Lamiales; Oleaceae. The record is from RNAcentral.
UAAAAUCAAACUAAUACUCAAUCCUCGAUAGCGGCGCCAAAAACUUGUUCACAAAAUUAUUCUUUCGAUUUGAUCUGGAAGUGUACGGUUCGUAACAGGUAAUAAAAUGAAUUUUAGAGUCCGAAUAUCGUCCCACAGAGAUAGAGUAACUUAAUUUUAUAUAUCUCAGCCUUAAUCGAAAACCAAAUGUGCUAUUGCAUGUGAAUUUAAUGAAUUAAAAUGCAAAGUUACGUUUUAAAUGCAAGAUUGAUGCAAUUAAUGAAUGUAAAGUGCACUAGGAUCACGAAUCCCCAAGCAAUGCUCAAUUUAACCCUAGUUCUAUAAUUUGACAACACGUUGAAAUUAUGAAGAAUCAAUGCCCCUAUAUCUUUCCAACAACCUCUCUCGAGCAAAGUUGAAUCUACUCUCAUAUACUACCGAACUAUAUCUCUAUGACGGGUGCAAAUAUAUAAAAAUGCAUGUAGUUUUGUGAGCACUUAAAAAUUCACGUAGAGCAUAAAGGUAUAUCCCUAUACCCUAUCGGACCCUACAAUUGCCUUGUCGAACAUAUUCCCCUUCUCUCGAAUGCAAGAAAUGGAUUACCACACACAAUUACAAGCCCAAUAAUUAAGGAAGAAAUUAAAUGCAUAUAAACCAUUCAAAAUAAUCAAACGUGUUUUAAUGUCAAAAAUAUGAAACAAGAAAUUACGAAUCACGUUAUAAGGUUCAUUGAUCUCCUAGCAUAUAAAAUCUAGCCUAACAUGAUGGGAAGAAGAAAACAAAUUAAAUAAUGAAGAAAAGACAUCACCAAUUUAAAUCUUGAAUUGAAUCCUUGCGUCUUGAUGUCAAUCUCCUCGUUCUUACCUUGUUCUCCUCUCUAAAAACCCUUAUGAAUGUGUUAUAAUGUGUGAUGUAUGUUUUUCGAAGCUCCUAGAGCUUUAAAAGACUUCUCAAUAUUUGUUUUCAUAAGAAUUUCAAUCAGAAAAGGAAAUCAGAUUUUUCUCGCCGCGAUUGACCCAGGUGCAGAACCCAGGCAGUCGCCCAUGCAUGGAUUUUUGCCUCGGGAAUUAAAUUUUGAAUUUAUAACUAGGCCAUCGCUCAGUUAUAAAAAAAUCCCGAAUGUUACAUUUUAGCCCCCGAAGUCGAUUCUUGAUUUUUUCAAGUCCGUUCUCUUAUGUUUUCAACCCUUUCAAUUGCAUCCAAUUGAACCUGAAACAUCUUUAAUCUUCAUUUUGUGAUCCGAAUCAACUAUUAAAAUGUUGCAAUUUAGUCCUCAUACUUUGGAUUUCCUCCUUUUUCUUUUCGAAUUGCUUAGAAAUUGAUCUAUUACUGAAAUAAAUGGAAAAUUACC